RNAcentral lists this transfer RNA (72 nucleotides) under Thermoproteota archaeon. Its description in RNAcentral is "tRNA-Ala". It matches the Rfam family "tRNA". Rfam says of the family: Transfer RNA (tRNA) molecules are approximately 80 nucleotides in length. Lineage: Archaea; Thermoproteati; Thermoproteota. The record is from RNAcentral.
GGGCCGGUAGUUCAGUGGUGGAAUGUCCGCUUUGCAAGCGGAAGGUCGAGGGUUCGAAUCCCUCCCGGUCCA